GGGUUUUAUAGUUAUUUAUGAAAGAAGAUCAUUGUUGUUCAUAUGUGUCAAUUCACUAGAAAGGGAUGAAAAAAAGAGUUCAAUAUUUUUUUUGGAGGUGUUAAUAAUGCAUAUUGAAUUGGGGUUGUUUGAUGGUUGUAAUUGGAAUGGAUGAAUUGGAUAAUGUAGUAAGGAAGGGAGCUAUUUGGUUCUCUGGUGUUGUGAAAUUUGAGGGUGAAGUGAGGUGGUGUUCAUGCAGGUUU
Molecule: long non-coding RNA, 242 nt
Filed under: Capsicum annuum
Lineage: Eukaryota; Viridiplantae; Streptophyta; Magnoliopsida; Solanales; Solanaceae
Description: long non-coding RNA (CANN_LNC004962)
Source: RNAcentral